GGUGCUGAUUUCCAGCUUGCUUCUGUUUAUGCCUGGUGGUACUGUGGUGCUCCAGCCCUGCAGGCUGACUUCCUUGCUUGGCUUAGGACCUGACCCAUCACCAUGAGCUUGCUUGAUCUGGUCUGCCUUGCUCAGUUACUGCAGGAGGGGGCCUGGCUGGUGAGCCCCCUGCCCUGCUGGCUCUGUUGCUGUGCCUGUUUCCCUGCCCAUUAGGGAGCAACCAGUCCUUGCUGCUUCCUGAUGUUAGCAAAAGUGCUAAGGGGACCCUGAGACAAUCUUUAGUGUUAAGAGCUAAGUUCUUAUAAAGUAGAGAUCCCCCUACCAUAUCUGGGUGCUAAGCCUGUUGCAUGCAAUUUGGGUUCUUGUACUCAGUGGGGUAUGUGUCUUCUGACACAUCCUUGGUCUAUCCCAGUGUUUGGCCAACCACCUGCUGCAGCAGGGAGAGGCAGCUGAGGCUGGCAAAGCUAAUCUUAUAACUGGGCAGCAUCCUUUGCACUGGCAGCUAACCUGCCAUAUCAAACUUGGCACAUGCAGUGAGGGAGAACUGACCUGAAGCCUUCUGCUUGGCCUCUGUGUGUUCAUAUUUCUCACUGGGGCAGCAAGGGGCACAGACAGCUGACAGAAGGGAUGCAGGUGUGGCAACAGCCUUGGCAGGCUGGUUUUCCCAAAAGGCCAGGAGCAAGCCUCUGCUCUUAGGUGCAUGAUUUCCAGUGGGAUCAACAGUGAAACCUGAAGGCUAUGUCUACGUUGGGAUAACUGCGGGUCAGAUUCCCUUAGUUCACACCACAGCAGAGACCUGAGGACUCUCGGAAAAAAAAAUGCUUGCUUCUGAAAAGCAGCUCAGGAAGUCAGAUAAUAAGCAUGUAGACUUGUCACAGUCCUCCGGAGCCUGGACAAAGCAGUUACCGUGUCUGCAAGAACUCGAGCCCUGUUCUCAGCCUUCAGGGCAGGGUGUCAGUCCUUGGACACCACAUGGUUUUGUACAACAUGGCACCUACGUCACACUGCACGUCCUCCCCAAGUUCCAGCCAGAAACCCCACAGAAGAGCUGUGGGCGUCUUUGAGGUCCCCCAGGAGCAGCCAGGCAGGUGAGGUGGUGCUGCCACCGAGGGCAGUGUGCAGUGCCCACAUGAGCUGGCCUCUGUCCCUCGGGGCAGGGACCUUCCUAUCUGUGGCCACUCCAUCCUCCAGGGCAGUGCUGCUGCUUUCUUUGUGUGUUGACCCAGCAGUGGGACAGAGGAUUUGGAAGCAGCACGGAAAAGAUCCCAUGGGGGAGGCACCUGGGGCAACCAAAACUUCAAAGCACAAAGGUCUUACACAGCAACCUCUUUCCCCCCUGCCUUCCCCUUGCAGAGCCUGGAGACCUGGGAUUGUGCAUGCUGUUUUCCCACAGUCUUUGCACACACAUAAAAUGCUGUGGUGCUUGUUAGUGCCUCAUAGGCACUAUAAGAAAAAGGGAACAAAAGAUUUCAAUUCUAUGAGACACAGUAGAACAAUUAAAUCUCAUGCUGCCAAGGCAAUGUAUAAAUAAAUACAGGCUGUCACCUGUAUUUCACAUUUACUUACAAAUGAAAUGAUUAAGUACAGCGUAUCAGCUAAGGUUUGUUAACUUAUUUUAUUAUAGAUAACUACAAUACGAAUGCAAAUCAAUAUAACUGGCUACUGAGGAGAUAUAAGAGCUGCAUUAUUUCUAUCAGCUUGUGAGAAAAGUUAGCCUUCGUUUUAAUUUUAGAUAUGGGGCUGGAAACAUCACAGAAUUUAAAUUGAAUAAUAUAUGAGUAAUUUCAAUCACUAACUUUAUCUAAAUAUGAGGAACAGUUUAAAUGCCUUUCCAGAGAAUGUCCCACCCGUUCUUUUGAGGAAAAUAGGGUUUCAACAAUAGCAAUACUUUAAUGAAAGCCCUUAUUGAGAAUUGAAAUUAAUUACUCAAUUGCAUAAAAGGACUUGUGAUGAAAUUAAUAGAGUAGAAAAUUUGUAAUGUUAAUUCAAAUCUAAAUUGACUAUGGAAGAAAACUUCAAAGGAACUACUCCAAUGGGAGCCUUUUGCUGGCUGCAGUAGGCAUGGGUAGGGCCUGGUGUUACAGAAGAGCUGUAAGAAAUGUCUGGUGGAAAAAAACAUUUUGCUACUAAAAUCACCCAGGAUGAGAAGAUGAUGAAGAUGAUUGACUGGCGGUCUGUGUGCCAGGUAUGGGAUUAGCAAGCAGGCAGAGCUCCUGCCAGUUACAUGUUAAUAAUGUCACGGUAGGGUCAGAUUAACUGGGGGCAUGCCCAGUGCUAAGCUGCUGUGGGGUCACCUUGGCCUGACCCCGGGCUUCCCCUGCAGGCACAGCUUGCUGCACACCACAGUGAGUCUCAUGUGCCCUUGGCGUAAAGUGUCGAUGAAAUAUAGCCCAGGAUCAGCCUCUGCUGUUUCAGGUGCAGUCUGUCUCUCUCAAUAUGGAGUUUUUAAGGCCCUUCUGGCACUCUGUCAUCUAUGCUAGAGGCUUACAUACCCUAGUAUCCCUCUGCAGGUGAGGCCCGUAACAGUGUCAGGUUAUUGAUGCAAUUUAUCUGUUGUCACUUGAGGCAAAAAUCACUACAUUGAGGUGCUUGCAACUGGUGUAGCUGGAAAUGACUCAUCCAGAAAUCUUUAAAACCUGACAUCCCAUCAGCACCCCCAGAAAAUACAUUGGGAAACUUCAACAGCUCUGCAGUAUUCUGUUUGGAAGGCAGUCCAUAAAAAUGCCCUGUGUUGGUUCCUGCUGUAUGAGAGCCAUACGGUCAUUUAAAACUGCAGUAAAAAGACUGCCCAGGUGCAAAGGGAAGGGGGUUGGAUGCAAUGGGAAGUCUUAAUCUCAUUUCCAGGUACUGCCAUGAAUCAGCUUUUAUAUGAGCUGGGCACAAAGCAGCAUGGGGCUAGGUAGAUGCAUGUAACAGGACUCAGUGGCAUGAAGUCCUUUAAGUCAACUUUUUUUUUUUUUUAACUCACAAUUAGAAAUGGCUAUUCUGUUCAUUUAGAAUUUCUGGGCUGGUACUUGCAUGAUCUACUUCAGGCUAUUGUGCAGCUUGAGAGACUUGUAAGAGGAAGAAAAGGGCUAUUUUGAGUAGGAAAAGCUCCUAAUCUGUAAUUACAGCACCACCACUUAGCUCUGGCAAUUUAGCUACAAAUGUCAGUGAAGGAACUGGGGAGCAGCAGCACAGCGCACUCCUUCAGUGGGCUGUGGUGGUCGCACCCUGCUGGCAGCUCAGCUCCACCACAAGCAUGUUCUCACUCCCUCUCCUCAAAGGGACAGUGGGGAAAGCAAGCAAGCUGGGAAAGAAAAAGGCUCCCUGAUUGUGGUAAAGGGAACUUCACUGAAGGGAAAAGGGGUGUGAGGGGUGGGAGCAAAGGUUCCCACUCACAUGGGGUGGGAGAUACCCCUUUGGUCGGUUUAGGUCAGCUGCCCUGGGGACUUAUUGUACAGGCUGAAUUUGGGUUUUGGAUAUUCACAAGCAACUUCCAGGAGGUGUCAUAUAUUUGGGCAGAAUAAACCUGGAAAUGUAUCUACCACCCUGCAUGUAUCAGGCUAUUAAUGAACUAAUGCACAGUGCAGUGAAGGAGGAGGCCAGCAGCAGCAUCAGGUGCUUUGUAGCCCAGGCUGAAACCAAAUAGGCUGUCACAGACUGAAGGAAAAAACAUUUUUUCUUCCAGCAAGGUCCUGUAACUUUUCUCCCUCAUAUUAAACAGAAGGACAUUUCUGUAGAGCCUACAAGUUCAACUUGUGUAUUGAUUAUGCGGAAAGCAUUUUGUUUAUUGCUGCAGAAUUUGCUGGAUGCCCUCACAGGUGAGGGAAUUUUCCACUUCUAGAUCCAUUUCAGUCUCAUGAGCACAUUAAAAUGUAUUUUCGACAACUACCUAUGGUGCUCAGAGGCCAGGAAAAUUCCUUUUAGAUCCCUCAGGGUCCGACUCCCUCGUUCUGGUUCUGCUGUGUCAUCCUGCAGCGCAUCCUGCUGUUGUAUCGCUGCUGACAAAUCAAUUCCCUGGGCCAUCAGUUAACCCCCGUGGGCCUGCUACCUAGCUCUGCAGCAGGCAGGGGACUUUCUCCCCUCUCAGGAAGGUACAAGAGGAGUCUUCUCCCAGGGAGAAGUCAUAACGAUGGCAAGCAACACGCAGGCAGUGCUGCAGACCUGGAUGGGACUUUGCACGUGGGAUUUAUCUUUCCACUAGCACGUAUGUAAAUGCUGUUGUUUGAUGAGAGUGAAAAAUGCAUCCCUUCUGAAAUGGGAGUGAUGUGGGGCUGGCUGCUGCAUGGCCCCCUUUGGCAGCCUGUAACCCCGCCGCCACUUGACUGAUGUGGACCAGGGCUACUCUGAUGGGUGCUGCUGAUGCUUUCAAUGCCACUGCAAGAGAGAAACAGAGAAGACAACAGAAAGUCAUGUGUUACAUGUCUGGUACAGCUGGGGAUAUCUCAGUAGGGUUUCAAGGAGCCUAAAAGGCCCUUGAGAUUUUCAUUGUGUUUUAUAAAUUCAUUUGCAGGGACUGACAUUAAGAGCGUGCUCUCAGGGCGCUGGUGAUGUUUCUCUGCUCACUGGAAGUGCCUGCAUGCCUCUCUUCGUGCUGUUGUUCCACUCUUCAGGUGGCACAGGAGCUUGAGUGCUGCUUUUGCCAUCCAGCAUCACUGUGUGUAUGAGUGCCACGGCCAGGAUCACAGCUUCCUACUCCCUUUGCACUUCUCCCCUGCUGCUAAUAACCCCUCGGGAACGUGCCAAAACAAAAAAGGGGACAACCUCCAGUCCCUUUACUUAGAAACGGAGGUUGCAAAUCCACCAGCUUUACUCCAAAUCUGUGCCAGGGUAGGGGCAGAUCCUGGCCUUGGUGAAUGUCUUGGUGAAUUCCUGGUGCAUAUUUUCCAUUUGUCAUCUUUAGACCUACACUUCCCUGCCUCUUGGGGGUGGGAGAACACUUCUGAGCUCAGGCUUUCUGCAAGGAAAGGGUCUGCUCAUCAGAGGCAUGUUUACACGGGGGAGAACUAGCUUUGAUACUAAUUGAGAAGUUGGCCUUGUAUACUGCGGCUGUUUUCACAUGCAUAAGCAAAUACUGCUGUAAACAAUAGUUUAGAUCCUAGGCAAACAUUCAGUGCUGAGGCCUAGAAAUAAAAGUUUGUGCUCCAUUUCUGCUUUAAUGUGCAGCUAUGUUAACUGAAAAGCAUACAAAAAUAGCAAUAAAAACCUCUCGUGCUGGAGUUAACACUGUGGGCCCAUCCAAACCAA
Non-coding RNA from Anas platyrhynchos (mallard), 5229 nucleotides. Lineage: Eukaryota; Metazoa; Chordata; Aves; Anseriformes; Anatidae. The record is from RefSeq and is a predicted model, not a curated record.